RNAcentral lists this ribosomal RNA (375 nucleotides) under uncultured eukaryote. Its description in RNAcentral is "partial 18S ribosomal RNA". It matches the Rfam family "Eukaryotic small subunit ribosomal RNA", at positions 592 to 976 of the family's 1831-position model. The record is from RNAcentral.
CAAUAGCGUAUAUUUAAGUUGUUGCAGUUAAAAAGCUCGUAGUUGGAUUUCGGUUAAGAGCGACCGGUCCGCCGUUUGGUGUGCACUGGUUGGUUUUAACUUCCUGUAGAGGACGUGCUCUGGGUUUAACGACCUGGACUCGGAGUCUACGUGGUUACUUUGAAAAAAUUAGAGUGUUCAAAGCGGGCUUACGCUUGAAUAUUUCAGCAUGGAAUAACACUAUAGGACUCCUGUCCUAUUUCGUUGGUCUCGGGACGGGAGUAAUGAUUAAGUGGAACAGUUGGGGGCAUUCGUAUUUCAUUGUCAGAGGUGAAAUUCUUGGAUUUAUGAAAGACGAACUUCUGCGAAAGCAUUUGCCAAGGAUGUUUUCAUUAA